This 1547-nucleotide ribosomal RNA is filed under the name seawater metagenome. RNAcentral's name for it is "bacterial LSU rRNA". It matches the Rfam family "Bacterial large subunit ribosomal RNA", at positions 937 to 2502 of the family's 2925-position model. The record is from RNAcentral.
CCUCUACGUCUCGUGGGCUCGGAGAUGUGUAUAAGAGACAGGUCUACCAGUAAGACUGUGGGGGAUAAGCUCCAUUGUCAAGAGGGAAACAGCCCAGAGCACCAGUUAAGGCCCUUAAAUAUUUACUAAGUGAUAAAGGUGGUGGGAGUGCAUAGACAAUCAGGAGGUUUGCUUAGAAGCAGCAAUCCUUUAAAGAGUGCGUAAUAGCUCACUGAUCGAGUAAACCUGCGCCGAAAAUGUACGGGACUAAGUAAUUUGCCGAAACUGUGCGAUAUACAAAUGAUAUAUCGGUAGGGGAGCGUUCUGUUGUAGGUCGAAGUAUUAGCGUAAGCGGAUAUGGACGAAGCAGAAGUGAGAAUGUCGGCUUGAGUAACGAAAAUAUAGGUGAGAAUCCUAUACCCCGAAAACCCAAGGUUUCCUCCGGAAGGCUCGUCCGCGGAGGGUAAGUCAGGACCUAAGGCGAGGCUGAAAAGCGUAGUCGAUGGACAACGGGUUAAUAUUCCCGUACCAUUUUUUAUUGACAUCGAGGGACGGAGAAGGCUAAGCUAGCCGGAUAUUGGUUACCGGUUUAAACGUUCGAGGCGUUGAGAAGUGGCGAAAACACUUUGAGUUGAGACGUGAAUACGAGACGCUAAGGCGUUGAAGUAGUGUAUGUCAGACUUCCAAGAAAAGCUUGCACUGUCAUAAAUAAAAAAUGCCUGUACCAUAACCGACACAGGUGGGUAGGUAGAGUAUACUAAGGGGCGCGAGAUAACUCUCUCUAAGGAACUCGGCAAAAUAACUCCGUAACUUCGGGAGAAGGAGUGCCUUAUUUAAUAAGGUUGCAAUAACAAGAUCCAAGCAACUGUUUAUCAAAAACACAGGUCUCCGCUAAGUCGUAAGACGAUGUAUGGGGGCUGACGCCUGCCCAGUGCCAGAAGGUUAAAGAAGUCGGUUAGUUUUUACGAAGCUGGUGACUGAAGCCCUGGUGAACGGCGGCCGUAACUAUAACGGUCCUAAGGUAGCGAAAUUCCUUGUCGGGUAAGUUCCGACCCGCACGAAAGGCGUAAUGAUUUGGAUACUGUCUCGGAGAGGGGCUCGGUGAAAUAGACUUGUCUGUGAAGAUGCGGACUACCUGCACCAGGACAGAAAGACCCUAUGAAGCUUUACUGUAACUUGAAAUUGAAAUUGGACUUUAUUCGCGCAGUAUAGGUGGGAAGCGUUGAAAGUACUUUUGCGGAAGUACUGGAGCUAUCAGUGAGAUACCACUCUUGUAAUGUUAGAUUUCUAACUUUGAACCAUUAUCUGGUCAAAGAACAGUUUCAGGCGGGCAGUUUGACUGGGGCGGUCGCCUCCCAAACGGUAACGGAGGCGUACAAAGGUUUCCUCUGAACGUGUAGAAAUCGUAUCUAGAGUGUAAAGGCAUAAGGAAGCUUGACUGUGAGACCUACAAGUCGAGCAGGGACGAAAGUCGGUCUUAGUGAUCUGACGGUACUGAGUGGAAAGGCCGUCACUCAACGGAUAAAAGUUACUCUAGGGAUAACAGGCUGAUCUCCCCCAAGAGUUCA